AAAAGUAAAAAUAUAUUUUAUUACUUUAAAAAAAUGCCACAUAUGCAGAAAAAUCCACGUAGUAGGCAAGUACACCCACACUCUUUGCCACAUCUGCGUUCAAAGGGGUACUGACUCUCAAAAGGCCAAGUUAAGGAGGGAGGGGGGAGGGAGCGUUAAUUAAGACCACGAAUAAUUUAAGAUUGUAACUAAUAAUGUGUGUUAAAUUUAGAGAAUGGUAAGAUAUAUUGUCAUAUAUAUACGGUUUUUCAAUAUAUUUUUUAAAAAAAUAUUUUCAGAUCGUCUACAACAUAUACGACAUAAGGAAUUGACAAGGAAAUGUUUCCUAUAAUAACAACUAAUUAAAACAAAUUAAGGAAAAAUUACUUUUGUUGCUGGCAAAAAGUAUUUUCUUUAUCUUGGCCAAAUAAUUUAAAAUUUUUAAAUGUACUUUUUAAAGGGAAAAAUACUCUUGACUUCGUAAAAACUUGGCCAAACAUGCUCUUCAUCUCCCAUACUUAACUAGUGAAAAAAAGACUUUGUCAUGUGAAAUAUAUUGAAAUUUUUUUGGAGUCCUAAUCUCAAGGUUCUUCAUUAAUUGAAUUCCAUAUCUUUUUGUCGGAGUCAACUGCAUAAUUUCGAUGCAAUCUGAAUUUUCAUCUAGAAAAUGAAGUUAUACAAUUUCAACUUUUGUUGUUUUGGAAAUUUUCAAACAAUCUAGUUUUCCUAAUCAUCUUC
RNAcentral lists this long non-coding RNA (717 nucleotides) under Nicotiana benthamiana. RNAcentral's name for it is "long non-coding RNA (NBEN_LNC015248)". The record is from RNAcentral. Lineage: Eukaryota; Viridiplantae; Streptophyta; Magnoliopsida; Solanales; Solanaceae.